Molecule: ribosomal RNA, 530 nt
Filed under: uncultured Myrionecta
Lineage: Eukaryota; Ciliophora; Litostomatea; Cyclotrichida; Mesodiniidae
Description: SSU rRNA
Rfam family: Eukaryotic small subunit ribosomal RNA
Source: RNAcentral
AAGUUAAGAUAGCCAUGCACGUCUAGUACAAACUAAAUGAUGGUGAAACUGCAAAUGGCUCAUUACAACGGUUAUGAUGUACCCGGGAGUUCCGAUGGAUAUUUCCAGUAACACUAGAACUAAUACAUGUCCCUGCGUUUAUUAGUUUCGCACAGUCCGUCGCUGAGUCAUGGUAAACAGUUGAUCGACUCGACGUCCCGGAACAGUUUCCGCCCCAUCAGCUUCGAUGGUUGGGUAUUGGCCUACCAUUGCAACAACGGGUAACGAGGAAUUAGGGUUUGAUUUCGGAGAGGGAGCCUGAGAAACGGCUACCACAUCUACGGAUGGCAGCAGGCGCGCAAAUUACCCAAUGCAGACACUGUGAGGUAGUGACGAGAAAUAAUAAAGCGGGACUUCUGUUUCGCUAUUAUAAUGAGGAAUAACCAAAGGUCAUUCCGAUUAGCAACUGAUGGGAAAGUCUGGUGCCAGCAGCCGCGGUAAUACCAGCGUCAGUAGCAUAUGAAAACUUACCAGGUCAAGACAUGGGCGUG